UACGUAGGUGGCAAGCGUUGUCCGGAUUUAUUGGGUUUAAAGGGUGCGUAGGCGGCCGCCUAAGUCAGUUGUGAAAUACCCCGGCUCAACCGGGGGGGUGCGAUUGAUACUGGGCGGCUCGAGUAACAGCGAGGUUGGCGGAAUUGACGGUGUAGCGGUGAAAUGCAUAGAUAUCGUCAAGAACACCGAUAGCGAAGGCAGCCAACUAGGGGUUAACUGACGCUGAGGCACGAAAGCGUGGGUAGCAAACAGG
This 253-nucleotide ribosomal RNA is filed under the name uncultured bacterium. RNAcentral describes it as "partial 16S ribosomal RNA". It matches the Rfam family "Bacterial small subunit ribosomal RNA", at positions 524 to 776 of the family's 1533-position model. The record is from RNAcentral.